Paralichthys olivaceus (Japanese flounder) is the source of this 1794-nucleotide non-coding RNA. The record is from RefSeq and is a predicted model, not a curated record. Lineage: Eukaryota; Metazoa; Chordata; Actinopteri; Pleuronectiformes; Paralichthyidae.
UCUUUGUCUGAUGCCUGGUAGAUGGCGGCUGCUGUGUUUGUUCAGGCAGCUGGACAAUCUAUGGGGAAUAAUCGUGGGAUGGACACCACUUUCCAUGUAGUGUGGUAGUCCUGAAGGGUGGUGGCCAGUUUGUUCUUGCAGUCUAAGUUGCAGUGGUUGUGGUCACCAUGUGGUCAUGUGGUGGUGUCUAAUGGGGUCUGUGAUAGAAUCUCCCAGUGGUGGAGAUGUAUGUUGGGUAUGUUAUACUCCGGCAACCUGUCUGAUGUCAGCUGGGAUCGGCUCCAGCUUCCCCUGCGACCCUCAAAGGAUAAACGAUGGAUGGAUAAAGAAUGGAUGUAUGGUGGUUGAGUUUCCCCUCAGCGACGGCAACAGGAGGAGACACGGAGAGACAAAGAGGCGCAGUGUGAUACUGGAGAUAGUCCGACCGAUUCAAGGCCACACAAACCUUCAGGGCUGGGAAAUCGACAAGCAUCACCAUAGCAACUCCCUCAGGGAACUGCGGCUCAGUCCACAGAGUGGAUCUGACUCCCGAUCAGCCACCCAGCCGCGUCUCCUGUGGUGUGGGCGUCGAGGUCCUGUGACAGGGUUAGCAUGAAUCACGGACGAUCACGGGCCUGUUGUGAUUUAUCUGUGUCGGCUGUGAGCUCUCAGCCCCUUGGCAUGGGUGGCACACUGCUCCAUUAUUCAUCAGCCAGAUGACUGGCUGUGGCACGAUGCCGACCCAAGAGUUCCAACCCACCUGGACGUGUUCUCCAGAGUGCUGCGGACUUCGCUCAUCUGCUCCUUCCCAAAAUACACCACUGUCAGAUGAACUCGGCCGUCCUGACGCACGCACACUUCCCUGUACGUAUACAAACACAAAGAGGAAGGGACAAUACAGAUGAAAGUGUUCUCAAAGUGAGCAGGGGACAUUACAGGAAGGAAGAAAACUGGGAACAAAUGAGGUUUUAAACAGGAGGCCUUCAGAGGAUUUAAUCUUUCAAAAAAGAACAACUUGCAUUAUCUAUUGAUUAAUAAUUUAAAGUUUCAGUCACAUCUUAAAAAAAGUCCAAUAUUGUUUUUUUACCUCAUCAUAAAUUCAUUAAAAAGGUACUGCUUUGUAUCUUGAUUGUGAUGUGCCUUUUUUUCACUAUUUCCUGACAUUUUUAAAUUAAAGGAAUAGUUAAUCAAUCAAAAAAAAAGCAUUCAGCCCUGACUCUCCUCAUUCUGACUCUGUGUACAGGGAGAGAUUGUCAUGAGUACAGAGACCAGGUGGCAGAUGCCUGUGAGCGCUUUGAUGGAGAAGUGUCAAAUACAUCACACGCAUGCUGAAGUAUAAUUCACCUCCUCUGCUCAGGAGACUCGAGACUCACACACAUUUGUCAGAAUGUUGCCCAGAAGCACUUGAGAGAAAUUAUCUUGUAAAACUAGAUGAACACAAGAUGUUUUAAAAAAUGACUGAGUACGUGCCGAGGAUACUGAGUAGUCAUGAAUAAUAUUUUUACUGUAGUUAAAGAUGCUGUGUUGAAGGUUCUCUCUAUUUUCAGACCUAAAUUGAUUUUUUUUCAGGAGGGUUUCAAUGAAGCAUUCUUCAUUUUGUCAUUCAGACCAUGGAAUAUAAAAAAAAAACCCUCUAAUAAUUUGAUCAUGUGUUGACAGUGAGUCUAAACUCAAUGUUUGCUGUUUGUUUGUGCUUGUGUGAAUUCACAUUUUAUCUGUGUAUCCUGCACUGGGGAGGCAUUUCACAGUGAAUCAAAAAUGCAAUUAUUUUCGAGCAUGAAUGUGAGUAAAGAACAUUUGAUACGUCCCUCACCA